Molecule: ribosomal RNA, 253 nt
Filed under: uncultured bacterium
Lineage: Bacteria
Description: partial 16S ribosomal RNA
Rfam family: Bacterial small subunit ribosomal RNA
Source: RNAcentral
UACGUAGGGAGCAAGCGUUGUCCGGAAUCAUUGGGCGUAAAGCGCGCGUAGGCGGCCCUGUAAGUCCGUUGUGAAAGUCAAAGGCUCAACCUUUGAAAGCCGAUGGAUACUGCAGGGCUAGAGUCCGGAAGAGGCGAGUGGAAUUCCUGGUGUAGCGGUGGAAUGCGCAGAUAUCAGGAGGAACACCGGUGGCGAAGGCGGGUCUCUGGGCAGUAACUGACGCUGAGGAGCGAAAGCGUGGGGAGCGAACAGG